GGGCGAUUAGCUCAGUUGGUAGAGCGCUUCGUUUACACCGAAGAUGUCGGCGGUUCGAGCCCGUCAUCGCCCACCA
Molecule: transfer RNA, 76 nt
Filed under: Mesorhizobium loti
Lineage: Bacteria; Pseudomonadati; Pseudomonadota; Alphaproteobacteria; Hyphomicrobiales; Phyllobacteriaceae
Also listed under: 1110 other names
Description: tRNA-Val
Rfam family: tRNA
About the family: Transfer RNA (tRNA) molecules are approximately 80 nucleotides in length. Their secondary structure includes four short double-helical elements and three loops (D, anti-codon, and T loops).
Source: RNAcentral